UACGUAGGGACCAAGCGUUGUUCGGAUUUACUGGGCGUAAAGGGCGCGUAGGCGGCUUGACAAGUCACUUGUGAAAUCUCCGGGCUUAACUCGGAACGGUCAAGUGAUACUGUCGCGCUAGAGUGCGGAAGGGGCAAUCAGAAUUCUUGGUGUAGCGGUGAAAUGCGUAGAUAUCAAGAGGAAUACCUGAGGUGAAGACGGGUUGCUAGGCCGACACUGACGCUGAAGCGCGAAAGCCAGGGGAGCAAACGGG
This 253-nucleotide ribosomal RNA is filed under the name uncultured bacterium. RNAcentral's name for it is "partial 16S ribosomal RNA". It matches the Rfam family "Bacterial small subunit ribosomal RNA", at positions 524 to 776 of the family's 1533-position model. The record is from RNAcentral.